GCCUGGGUGGCUCAGUCAGUUGAGCAUCUGACUGUGGCUCAGGUCAAGAUCUCAUGGUUCGUGAGUUCCAGUCCCAUGUCAGGCU
This 85-nucleotide transfer RNA is filed under the name Felis catus (domestic cat). It matches the Rfam family "tRNA". Rfam says of the family: Transfer RNA (tRNA) molecules are approximately 80 nucleotides in length. Their secondary structure includes four short double-helical elements and three loops (D, anti-codon, and T loops). The record is from Rfam by way of RNAcentral. Lineage: Eukaryota; Metazoa; Chordata; Mammalia; Carnivora; Felidae. RNAcentral also lists the same sequence under 3 other names.